GGCAGUUCUCAGGUGACACACCCAGGAAUCAAGCUCCCUCUUCUCUGGUUCCACGUGCAUCACCCGAGGACCACA
Myotis davidii is the source of this 75-nucleotide non-coding RNA. Lineage: Eukaryota; Metazoa; Chordata; Mammalia; Chiroptera; Vespertilionidae. The record is from Rfam.